UUUAAAACAAGUUCGUCAUGUAUUAUGGAACCUAUAUAAAACAGGAUAUUUGCAAAAAGGACCAAUAUUUUAAAAAUAUAUAAAAGGAAAAAAAACGAAACCAAAAAAAAUACACACACGCACACACACACAAGAAACAACUGAAAAAAUAAAACAACGAAAAAGUCCGGUUCGUAUGGAGGCGAGCUUCAGCAAAGCCUAAACUAUAUGUCGUCUGCGAGGGGCAUAUAGGAUUGGCCCAGGCCACACGAUGUCGGUCCUGUUACUAUGGUUGCGGUGCAGUCGGCUAGGUUGCAGUCGCAACAGGUUGUCGCCCUACCUCUGCCAUCCAUUUGCUGAUGCAUCCCACCUCAGGGCUCUGCUUGGUGGGCCUACUUUGGUUGGGAUGCCGACAUGGUCGAUGUGACGGUCUUCUCAACAUCCGUGGCUCCUCCGACUUUGGCAGCGUCGGCUUCCGUAGCCCCGUCACCUUCUAUAGCUCCUACGUUUGAAUUGUUGUCCACUCCUCUGCAAUGUAGCGGCUGCCACCCCGUCUUUGUCGACGACUCUUCU
RNAcentral lists this long non-coding RNA (552 nucleotides) under Hordeum vulgare. Its description in RNAcentral is "long non-coding RNA (HVUL_LNC011268)". The record is from RNAcentral. Lineage: Eukaryota; Viridiplantae; Streptophyta; Magnoliopsida; Poales; Poaceae.